RNAcentral lists this long non-coding RNA (378 nucleotides) under Brassica napus (rape). Its description in RNAcentral is "long non-coding RNA (BNAP_LNC010389)". Lineage: Eukaryota; Viridiplantae; Streptophyta; Magnoliopsida; Brassicales; Brassicaceae. The record is from RNAcentral.
AAAAUAUCGAUUUUGAUGAGUUAUUUUUUCCUUUGUUAUAUGACUUGCAGGUCGUUGGGAAGGUUAGGACUUGGUCAUGUCGUAUACGUUUCAGGGUUAUCCUGCAAAACCACAAAAGAGAAUUGGUAAGCCUUAUCAAUAAGUAAUGAGUAGAUAUUGGUUUAAUCACUUUAUUGCUUUAGCUUAAAGAUUGUUUUGGUUAAGCAGCCUUGAGGUGUUAUGGCAUGAGGAGAACGAGAAAGCUACAUUCAUCAACCUAAGCUGCUUACCUGCAUUUCUAACCUCUUCUUGUCUUCACAAAGUCUCUACCCUCUCCCAGAUUUCAAAACAGAGAAAGCCUGCAAUCAAUGUUCGUGUCAGUUUCUACAUAAGUUUUCC